This 77-nucleotide transfer RNA is filed under the name Desulfovibrio sp. RNAcentral's name for it is "tRNA-Arg". It matches the Rfam family "tRNA". Rfam says of the family: Transfer RNA (tRNA) molecules are approximately 80 nucleotides in length. Lineage: Bacteria; Pseudomonadati; Thermodesulfobacteriota; Desulfovibrionia; Desulfovibrionales; Desulfovibrionaceae. The record is from RNAcentral. RNAcentral also lists the same sequence under 6 other names.
GCGCCAGUAGCUCAGUUGGAUAGAGCAUCGGCCUUCUAAGCCGACGGCCGGGGGUUCGAAUCCUCCCUGGCGCGCCA